CUUAACUUGCAUUUGGACAAAUUGUGUAAUUAUCAGGUAAAAUAAUAAUGUAAUCGUCUGUAAUGGCCUUUGUGGUGUCGAGAUCUCGAGGUUGGAAAGAGGCAAUACACAGGGACAACUCUGGAGGCAGAUAUUUAUAUUUAUUUCAUACAAUAACAUUAAAUAAAAAAAGUUAAAUACGCAAACACACAAAGGUAAAUUAGCUAUAUGACUCCUUGACCUGUGUAAAUGUCAGAUAAAUUGUAUUAUUAUUCUCCUGCACGAUAUUGUUUAUGUAUUAAGAAGACAUUGUAGUCCUGCAGUGCCAUCUUGUGGUCUGUUCCGCUUUUAUUUUGUUAAGCGAGCGUUUCUUCUUCUUCUGCGGUUUUUCUGACGCCGAACUUCCUGUUUCUUUGUCUAAACAACGUAGUGCUCACGCAUCGUCGGAGAAACGCUCCGAGCAGCGGCGUGUGUGUGUGUGAGCUGGAGAGCAUGCUAGCGGAUGGCUAACACUUAAAUUAGCGCCCUUGGAACGGCGGAAUGAGUUUUCACGGUGCUUAUGGUACACGGCGCUGGUCGAGAGUGAGAAUAAAUCAACACCCGUUUGAAACUCUCUGCGUCUUGCUGAAUGAAUCCAAGGGGCCGCUACAACCUGCAUAAAUACAAAUGUUUAUAAUGUUAUAAAACAUACAGCCUUUUCCGUGCAGCCUCCGGCUCUGCAGACACAUACUAUUGGAAUAUUUUGAGUGAAAUCAUCCUUUAAAAUUGUAAGUUCUGCAUUUCAACCGAAAGUUGUGCACUACAGUGACCAUCUAUUGUAGUAACUUUUAAAAAAUGCUCGAAAUGUGCAGCCCUCUCGGUGCAGCCUCUGGCUCUGCAGACAUACCCUUCUCCCGGUCCGUGGGGCUCUCUGCAGCUGCUGAUCAGUGGAUUGGUCGCGGCUGUGAGAGUCCCACACCUGUAGCGCAUUCCCAUCUGCUGCUAUAAAGACCGGCUUCACACGGCAGGGGACGUGGGACCAUACUGCCUUGUCUCCAGCCUAUAAGACGACGCCGCAGCGCUGAAGCAGCAGCGUGUUUCCCCCGCUGUCCUUUGUGGAAGGAUGAGGACCCCUGACGCCCUAGUCGAAAGAAGGCGUGGACCUCCCCCUCCUCCCUGGACUUCCCGAUUGGGCGGCGUGAGCCCUGGACUGUUGCUCACCUGGAGCCUGACUUCCCCCCUCCCUGAACAUUGUGAGUUCUGGCCAUAGCUGGCAUUGUUGCUGUUCAUGAAUUUGUUUUCGUGAAUAAAGACCUGUUUCAGUUGCCGUCCUGCCUACCACCUGCUCUGUGUGCACUCACCUUGGGUUCAAAUCCCCCGCAUACCUUAACAGUCUCAGUCAUUAAAUUUGUGUGUCCCUGUAUAGUUUCU
Amphiprion ocellaris (clown anemonefish) is the source of this 1389-nucleotide long non-coding RNA. The record is from Ensembl. Lineage: Eukaryota; Metazoa; Chordata; Actinopteri; Pomacentridae.